CGACAGUUGAUCACUAACCCCCAAAUAAUGGGUCACAAACACUUCAUUACUACACUGCCACCACAAUCGCAACCUGCAAGCACCACACCACUGUCGCCGCCAUCGUUACCACCAUCGCAACCGCCGCACCACCACUACCAAAAUACUACAACGACGCUGCACAUUUCACCUCCAACACCAUCAUAACCAUCACAACCACCAAUUGCAUCAACACCGUCAUCUACUCAACCACCACCACUAUUUCCAAAAAUGCCAACCACCACGAGAAAACUAAACUAAACAGAUCAAAUGAAAAAAAAUAAAAUUAAAAAUUAAAAACUUCAGCACCAUUGAGGAUGGUACCAUCACCGGUCCACCACCCACCACUGCCUGAAACCAUCACCCCCAC
Molecule: long non-coding RNA, 388 nt
Filed under: Olea europaea (common olive)
Lineage: Eukaryota; Viridiplantae; Streptophyta; Magnoliopsida; Lamiales; Oleaceae
Description: long non-coding RNA (OEUR_LNC011060)
Source: RNAcentral